Molecule: non-coding RNA, 75 nt
Organism: Myotis lucifugus (little brown bat)
Lineage: Eukaryota; Metazoa; Chordata; Mammalia; Chiroptera; Vespertilionidae
Source: Rfam
GGUGGUUCUCGGGUGAUGCACCCCAGAAUAAGGCUCCCUCCUCUCUGGUUCUGGGUGCAUCACCCAAGAACCACA